This 809-nucleotide ribosomal RNA is filed under the name uncultured Bacillota bacterium. Its description in RNAcentral is "bacterial SSU rRNA". It matches the Rfam family "Bacterial small subunit ribosomal RNA", at positions 58 to 842 of the family's 1533-position model. Lineage: Bacteria; Bacillati; Bacillota. The record is from RNAcentral.
CAAGUCGAACGCGAAAGGGUAGCAAUACCCGAGUAGAGUGGCGAACGGGUGAGUAAUGUGUGGGUAAUUUGCCUUUUAGAGGGGGAUAACCCGGCGAAAGCUGAGCUAAUACCCCAUAAUAUCGCAAUGUCUUCGGACGUUAUGAUCAAAUGAUGGCCUCUAUUUAUAAGCUAUCGCUAAAAGAUGAGCCCACAUCCUAUCACGCUUGUUGGUGGGGUAAUGGCCCACCAAGGCGACGACGGGUAGCCGGCCUGAGAGGGUGUCCGGCCACACUGGAACUGAGACACGGUCCAGACUCCUACGGGAGGCAGCAGUGGGGAAUUUUUCGCAAUGGGCGAAAGCCUGACGAAGCAACGCCGCGUGGAGGAUGAAGGCCCUAGUGGUCGUAAACUCCUGUCUAGCGGGACGAAAGUAUUGGAGGUGAAUAAUCUCCGAUAUUGACUGUACCGCUGGAGGAAGCUCCGGCCAACUCCGUGCCAGCAGCCGCGGUAAUACGGAGGGAGCAAGCGUUACUCGGAAUUAUUGGGCGUAAAGGGCGCGUAGGCGAUCCGACAAGUCUGGUGUGAAAGCCCACAUGUUAACUGUGGAAGUGCAUUAGAAACUGUUGGAUUUGAGUUCAGGAGAGGAAAGCAGAAUUCCCGGUGUAGCGGUGAAAUGCGUAGAGAUCGGGAGGAAUACCAGUGGCGAAGGCGGCUUUCUGGACUGACACUGACGCUGAGGCGCGAAAGCCAGGGGAGCAAACGGGAUUAGAUACCCCGGUAGUCCUGGCUGUAAACGAUGUGCACUUGGUGUGAGCCGGUUUUCGGUUC